RNAcentral lists this long non-coding RNA (605 nucleotides) under Homo sapiens (human). Its description in RNAcentral is "HSALNT0285350". Lineage: Eukaryota; Metazoa; Chordata; Mammalia; Primates; Hominidae. The record is from RNAcentral.
AUGGACUACUGCUGGGCCAGACUGACUUUAUGCCUUGGAAUGAGCCUUCCUAGCAACGUGGGAUGCUAUUGCCUAGCAAUGACCCUUCCUAGCAAUGUGGGACCUGAACUUCUAGAAAUAAGCCAUCCUAGCAAUGAGAAACCAGCUCAAAAUAAGGAGGAAAAAGCAACCUGAGGCCAGAAACCCGUAUUCCUUCUAAAAUGCUUUCUCCAAAAAGAUUUUAAAGAAAAAGGGAGGGGGGAAUGAGAAAGAAAAUUAAAUCUUGGGACCCCAAACUCAUUACGUCAAAGGGAAAAGUUAAGCUGGGAACUGGGUCAUGCAAACCUGCCUGCCUUUUGGUUCCUAUAUUAGAUGACUACAAAAUGAAAAGCUCCACAUCUCCCCCAUAUUUUGCCCACAAGGAAAUUCCUAGUGAUCUGCAAGAUCUUUACCCUAAGGUGUUUCUGUUAAAAUUUCACCAUGGCAAUGUAAAUUGAUAGCUUAUCUUUACAGGUGCAGUCACCCCCUGCCUACCAGACACAAAUGCAUAUCUGAUUGUUCCCCUGCCUCAUUUUGUCUAUGUCAUCUUAUGUAAAAAUGCAGAUUCCCUGAGCCAGACAAAGGCA